This 85-nucleotide small RNA is filed under the name Flavobacterium xanthum. Its description in RNAcentral is "Flavo-1 RNA". It matches the Rfam family "Flavo-1 RNA". The record is from RNAcentral. Lineage: Bacteria; Pseudomonadati; Bacteroidota; Flavobacteriia; Flavobacteriales; Flavobacteriaceae.
UUUUAGCCCCGAUAGAAGUGGCAUCCUUUUGUGUUCUCGUUUUUUUACGAGACCACAAAAGAUAGAACGGAUAGCGGGAUUAGCU